GCCCUCGUACCCCGACACCAUUGUCUUCUCCCGCCAUGGACGACUCUGCGUCGAGCAAUGAGGACAUUGAAAACCAGAUGCCUGGUGGUAUGUCUUUAGUACGCCUGUGUCUAACUAUGUCAAUAGUUGUGGAGAUGCGGUACUGCUUAAUGCUCCACUCAAAAGAACGAGGCCUGUUUUAGGCUUGAGAGACCGGAGUGCCGGGGAUUCAUUCACCCACGUUGGCGAAUACGGCUUGGAGUAUGUAAUAUCAUGGGUCGAUGGCUGUGUUAUUUUGAAUGUUAAAGAUUGUGCUACAGAGUGGCGGUUGAACGUUCACGAAUGGAAUUUUUUCUUGGAGAAUUUAUGCCCCAUGCUAGACGGCGUCCGGGGUACAUGGCAGGCGGGAACCCAUGUAUUCCAAUGGACCUUUCAGUAUGAAUCGAGGAUUCAUCGCAUGGAUGCAAACUAUCAUACGAAGAGACCACAGGAGUUCAUUUUUUUCAGACGCUGUGUUGAUACAGACGAGCUACCACAGUGCUAUGAUAUGCAUUGCGUCGGUAGCUCUCCUCUACGCACCAGUGUUUUAGAAGCUGCUGAUUAUUUUGAUAAUGUCUUUUUCAUGCAGUGGGCUGAUUUGUCUGCACUAUGUGGAAUUUUUGCAGAGAUUGAUUCUAUGGCUAAGACGAAUGAAGAACCAUGGAGCACAGCUGAUGAUGAAUGCCGAAUGUGCCUGUUUGAGUCGUCUGGGUUUGAUGAGGGGGUACAUGCACAGGUCAAUGAUGAACAUGUGCAAGGUGGGGGUGUGGCUAUGGAGACUGCUGAUUUAAAGGCUGUACAACCCGGACCCCACUGGCUUCAAGAGUAUGCCAUCUAUCUGACCGGAUUGAAUCUGACCUUCCUACACGUCGGAGAGGACAGUGAGCUGGAGGUGGACACUGCUAUGAGAGACGACGGAUGGCCUGUAUCAAUACAGAUCCGUUUAAACCCUGCAUCGCUGGCUGUUCUGCGAUUUACCACGGGGCUCUGUGUGGUGGCCAUCAUCAACCAUCAGAAGCAAGCGGACUGCUGGGGAUGCCAGUGUGAUUGCCCAAGUCAACGACGCCAUUCAUGCCUGCAGGGAGCGACACAUCAUCACUACGAAUCCCACUACCAUGACAUUUGUGUCAUCCUGGACAGACACCCCUUCCUGUUACUUUUAGAAACUGUUCUAAAGAAGACUACAGGGUUGACUGUGUCCCCCGGAAAAAUCUAUGGUGUGGUCGAAUCUUAUCUAUGUGAUUUAAUAUGCAAUACCUAUAAUACCGAAAAACUGGAUUUAAUGACCACCGAAGGUGUGUCCGAUGAACAUCUGCUUCUGAUACAUGAAGCCAUACAAAUGUGGCGUCCUACAUUAUCAUUAGGCAAACCAAAGCCUGCUGGUGGGUGGCGUUUAUAAUGGGGGUGUUGUUUUCAUAUGCGUAUGAUGCGGAUAUCAAGUAUGUAUCAGAUAGACUAUCCGUUUUGAUGUAUGCUGCCAUAGAAAAUGAUACAUAUGUCCAGCAUAAUGCUUAUAUCAAAUGCACGUAUAAGGGUUGGAAUGAUCUGGUCAUGAAAUUCUUGUAUGAUAAACCUACUGAUCAAAUGUUAGCUGAAAUAUUUACCCAUUUCCCCGAUGGUGACUGUUUUACCAUCGGACAUGUCAUGUGUAUAUGUGCUUUUGUAUCGGAUGUCUUGAAGUUGAAUAAUGCCUCAAACGCCGAGGGUAUUAGAACUGCUAGAAUGAUGGCUUGUAAAAUGGUGCAG
RNAcentral lists this long non-coding RNA (1764 nucleotides) under Gadus morhua (Atlantic cod). Its description in RNAcentral is "lncRNA (ENSGMOG00000035946.1)". Lineage: Eukaryota; Metazoa; Chordata; Actinopteri; Gadiformes; Gadidae. The record is from RNAcentral.